UUGACGGGGACCCGCACAAGCGGCGGAGCAUGCGGAUUAAUUCGAUGCAACGCGAAGAACCUUACCAAGGCUUGACAUAUACGAGAACGGGCCAGAAAUGGUCAACUCUUUGGACACUCGUAAACAGGUGGUGCAUGGUUGUCGUCAGCUCGUGUCGUGAGAUGUUUGGUUAAGUCCCGCAACGAGCGCAACCCUCGUUCUAUGUUGCAGCACGUAAUGGUGGGAACUCAUGGGAUACUGCCGGGGUCAACUCGGAGGAAGGUGGGGAUGACGUCAAAUCAUCAUGCCCCUUAUGUCUGGGCUUCACGCAUGCUACAAUGGCGGUACAAUGGGCUGCAAUACCGUGAGGUGGAGCGAAUCCCAAAAAGCCGGUCCCAGUUCGGAUUGAGGUCUGCAACUCGACCUCAUGAAGUCGGAGUCGCUAGUAAUCGCAGAUCAGCAACGCUGCGGUGAAUACGUUCCCGGGUCUUGUACACACCGCCCGUCAAGUCAUGAAAGUCGGUAACACCUGAAGCGGUGGCCUAACCUCGGGGAGGGAGCUGUCGA
This 546-nucleotide ribosomal RNA is filed under the name Microbacterium paraoxydans. RNAcentral describes it as "bacterial SSU rRNA". It matches the Rfam family "Bacterial small subunit ribosomal RNA", at positions 910 to 1459 of the family's 1533-position model. Lineage: Bacteria; Bacillati; Actinomycetota; Actinomycetes; Micrococcales; Microbacteriaceae. The record is from RNAcentral.